RNAcentral lists this long non-coding RNA (6263 nucleotides) under Sus scrofa (pig). RNAcentral describes it as "lncRNA (ENSSSCG00065053592.1)". The record is from RNAcentral. Lineage: Eukaryota; Metazoa; Chordata; Mammalia; Artiodactyla; Suidae.
UUUUUUUUUUUUUUUUUUUUUGCCAACACCUAAGGUGACUGGGGCCACAGGUGGAGCCCACUCACAGGCCCCCAGUGGUGGCAGGCCACGCCUCCCUCUGGCCUCUGAGAAGACCACCAUGGUCUUUCCCUGACACCUGUAGAUCACACAAGAAGCACCACACUGCACUUAGCCCCCCACUGCUCUUGGCCCACACAAAGGUGCCCGGCCAUCCAUAGCCUGCACAAGAAGGAGAUUCCUAUGGCAGUCCGCCCCUCCUCCUCUUGCCCUCCCCAACAGUGGCUCCUGGGUUCUCUGGCGGACCCAGACCUUCUCCCGGGUUCUCUCUGCUGUGGUGUUCCACUCUCCAGCCCGUAGCACACCCCUCCCCCACACAUGGCACAGUGUUCUUUAGCCCCUUAGGCUGUCCCCACACUGUCAACCCUAGUCAUCCCCCGGGACUUACCUCCAGAGCCUAAGUCUCAGCCCACAGCCCCACCCAAGCCUCUCAGGCUAUGGUGUCUGGGGCGGUGGUGCAGAUGAUUUGUGCAGCUCUCACUCUACUUUGCCCUCCUCAGUCCAGUUGCUGUGCUUUUCUUGGUGACUUUGAGGUUGCUUUGUCACAGCUGAUCUCCUGGUCAGUUAGGUGGCUUGCCAGGGUGUGUGUUGUGUUCCUUUUCUCCUUUGUAGGUCCCUCUCAGGAAUGCUAAACCUGUCCUGAUUCCUUUUCUCUCUCUCUCUCUUUUUCUUUUGUUCUCCCAAUUACGUCAAGAGAUUAUUUCUUUUCUUUUUUCUUUUUUUCUGUCUUUUUUUUUUUUGCCUUUUCCCAGGGCUGCACCCCUGGCAUAUGAACAUUCCCAGGCUAGGGGUCUAUUUGGAGCUGUAGCCACCUGCCUAUGCCAGAGCCACAGCAACACUGGAUCUGAGCCGAAUCUGCGACCUACACCACAGCUUACAGCAAUGCCGGAUCCUUAACCCACUGAGUGAGGCUGGGGAUCAAACCCACAACCUCGUGGUUCCUAGUUGGAUUCAUUAACCACUGAGCCACGACGGGAACUCCAAGAGUUUCUUCCCUUUUUGGAGGUUUCUUUUGCCAGCAUUCAAUUGAUGUUUUGUGUGAAUCAUUUUACAUGCAGUGUGUUUUUUUGAUGUGUUUGUGGGAGAAGUUGAGCAUGACGUCUUACUCCUCCAUCUCGAUGCGCCUCUCCAAAAGUAUUUACUCUCAAUUUGGAGAUGUCUCUUGACUGGCAGUAUGUGCAAAGUUAAUUGAUCAUGAAGAAUUUCAUAAAUAGUCCUUUUCCAAUAGGAAACUCUCAGGAGUUAAUGCAUUACAAUUUACACUCGGAGUAAAACAAACUAGACGAAUGAUCACCUUGACGAAGGAAUGACUAUGUGAUUUUCAUAUGGAACUGAGAUGUCUGACAAUAAAAACCCUUAUUACUUCAUUUUCUAUUAUCAAAUAUAAAAGCAGGUUUGUGCACCUUCCAAGUACUCUUGCGUAUGGCAUACCGUGUUUUUAUAAAGUGUCAUUAUUGCAUGAUAAUCAUACAUGGACAAGUGCAUGUUUAAUUUUUCCUUUGUAUUUAUGAAUACAUUUAAGUUCAAGUUUAUCAGUUUUGUAUAUAGUGUAUAAUGCAUUGGGAGAUGCUAGUUUUCAUGAUUAUAAUUUUUUUUUCAUGAUUAUAAUUCUUUCAGAUUGUGUUACUUUGUUUUGGAUUAUUAAAAAACAUUUUAGAAGGAAAUGAGGAGCCCAAAAUAGGGAUCCUUUCAAAUGGUAACCUGUUGAUUCUCAAAAAAAAUGAUUGAUGAAGGGAAGUGUAAGAAGUAUGUACACUUAUUUCAGAAUGUAGUGAAUAGCAAACCUACGUCUUAAGAAAGGAAAUGCAGCUUUGCUCCCCAGUGCAUGCGGAACAACUUUUCAAAAUUUGGAAUUUUGUAAAAUACUUUAUUUAAUAACCAGUCUUUCUAGAAUUAUAUAUGAGGAUCCAGAAUAGAUAAUAUUGUUUUAUGGCCCCACCUGUGGCAUAUGGAAGUUCCCAGACUAGGGGUCAAAUCAGAGCUGCAGCUGCCACAUCCACUGCAAGGCCAGUUCUGAGACACAUCUGCAACCUCAACUGCUGCAGCUUUUAGUAAGGCUGGCACCUUAACACACUGAGUGAGGCCAGGGAUCCAACUUGCCUCCUCAGAGAGACAGUACCAGGUCCUUAACUUGCUGAGCCUCAACAGGAGCUCCAGAAUUGACAGUGUUUUAAAUGUCACUUUGAUUUUAUGAAGUGCCACUUUUUGUUGUACACGAGUAGUGAUAUUUUAUACUUAUACAAUAUAUAAUCAUGUGUUUUUUCUUUUUAAUAUUGGAAAUUUUAUUUUUGCAGGUAAUUUUUAUUUAUUGCUUUGUUAAGCAAUACAAUAGUGUUCUAUGAAGAGAAAGGCAUAGUAUUAGUUACAGUUUAAUCCUGAGAAUAUUCCAAGUUCUGAAAUAUUGGAAGUUCUCAGAAAAUAUUUCUUAAUAAUUGAAAAGGUGAUAGAUGAAUGUAUAAGAUGAUUUAGGUGAUUUUUCUCCUGCAUGAAACCUUUGUGUUAAUUCCUGCAUCACAUUUUCCCUCUUGGGUCAGAUGAUGGUUAUAGGGUCCCUCCCUUGCUUGCAUGUGUUCAUGCAUGCAUGUGGCACGUGCACACAACACACACGGGAGCACACACAGUAAUGCUGCAGCCAACAAACAUCAUGUGCUUUAUGUUCACUUCUGCUAAUGAUACCAAAUCCCCCCACUUCCUAGUCCUCCAAUCCAUAAUGUUACACAAAGAUGGUUAUUUCUGUUUUUGAUAGCAGUGGUGUCUGCCCAGGGCUCACUAGUCUGGGCAAAGGGUAGUGAGGCCCAGAAAGGGCAGCCCCAGCCCUUGGCUCCAUGCUUCUCUCCCCACCACCAGGCUCACCAAGCCAGCUCUCUUCCUGGACUCCAGUGUGGCAUGGGGAGGGUGGACCACAGCCUCCUCUGCCUGGGUGGCUGGGGCAGAGCAUUGGCAGGAGGGGCAGGGGAGGGACUUGGGCCAGGGAAGUAAGUGGGUCUAUUUUCCUGGGCCCUAGAUGGAUCACUCCUGACCAGGCUGGUGUUUGGGGAGCACACAGCCUCUCUCAACAUUCAGCGCUGAGCAAAGAAUCCCAUCUCUCUUCCUGGACCCCACUGACCUACUCACCCUACUCACCACACUUUCCAGGAUAAAGCUUGUUCCAGCCAUGGCAUCCUUCUAACCAUCACUGUCAAUUGCCUUGAUAAUUCUGUAUAGGUUUUUGCCUUUUUUUUCUCUUUAGGGCUCCAACUGGAGCCACAGUUGCAUCAUUCAGAUUCCUCUACCCACUACACCACAGUGGGAACUCCUGUAUUUUCUAUGGAGUUCAUUUAGAGUCAAAUACAUAGAAACAUUUUUACUUUUGCAGAGGUUAAGUAGGAAGUUGAAUGUUCUCUAAUAAACUUUUCCAGGUCUUUGCUCUCUCUGCAUAUUUUCUUUAAUGAUGGUCCUAGGGAAAGCCUUAAUACAAGAUUUGAAAAGCCAAAGCCAGAUCGUUCUGAUUUCCCUAAAGCUACAUGAUUUCAUGAUUUACAUAAUUACAGCUUUUAUCUCUGUGUGUACAUUUCAGAAUAAAAUUAAAAAAUAUCAGAAGCCCAGCCUAGGAGUUUCCUUGUGGUCCAGCAGGUGAAGGGUCCACCAUUGUCACUGCAUCGGCUUGAGUUGCAGCUGUGGCCCAGGUUCAAUCCCUGGCCCAGGAAUUUUCACAUACCAUGGUUUUGCCCAAAACAUGAAUUUCAAAAGAGAGAACAAAAUUAUAUUAUUGUUAAAUCCUUUUAAAAAAGAAAAUAAAAUCCCAGCCUAGCCAAAAGGAGAGAGUGUCAGGCCGGUUCAUUGUAAUGAAUGCCAAGAGGGAUGAGAAAUUCAGCUAGACAAAGACUGGAAAGGUGGCACCUUUAUUUAUCAGUUGGAAUCAUCAGGGACUCUGGUGUCCAUUCAAAGGAAUGGGGGAAGGAAAAGACAUCCUGGAAGUGGUGGAGACUGUCAAAGAGAAAAGAAACAAAUCUUUCUAGAAGCUUGUCAUGGGAAAUAAGAUUGGUACAAUUCAGCGGGGAGAAACAGCAUGAGACGUUCACAGAGAGAGGAGAUUUUAAGUCGUCAUCUGAAGAAAGAAAAUGCAGAUAAAAUGGUAGGCUCAUUGGGCGGAUGCCUGGUUUUCUUCAGCAGCACAAAGGUGCCUGGGUGAGGUAAGAGGGGAGGAAUGAUAAUCGAUGUCUUGUGAGCUGGAGUUUGGCCAAGUACGGGGAGAGGACAGAAAGACGAGGGAAGAGAGAAUUUUAGCUCUUGGUAUUGUUGGAGGAAAAACUUUUCCUCUACCCUCUUAGUUUCAGUGAUUCGAAGUCUGCAAAUUAGAUACAAGCAGACUGCCUGAGGAAAAACCAUUUUAUUACAUAUAUCUAUAUGCAGAUGCUCACAAAGAAAUGUGGUUUGGAGGGGUGGCUAGAAUUUGGGAUUUGCCAACUAUGUAAUAAGUGGCAAGGAGUAGGAAAAAGGCAUCAAUGGAUUUUUCCUUAAAAUGAGCUUUCCAUUCUUAUACUUCUAUGAAACUAAAAUUGUAAGGUUUGUUCCAUGGUAAUAAUUUUUCAACAUAGAAUCUUAAAUACAUAAAAUGAAGAAAGUGGUUCUGUUAUAAUGUCAUGUGAAAAUUUUAGUGGCAAAAACAACAACAAAAAAAACCCCAAAAAGCUGCUUGAAGAAAGGAAUAAGAGAGGGGCUAGGCCGGUUUUCACCCUGGGAUUCUGAUCAUGACUUUCUAGAAUUAGAAACAAGGAAAACAAUAUGGAAUUCUUGAAUUGUAACUCUGGAACUUUGUUUCCAUUCUAGAAAUGAGGGCCGGCUUUUGGAAACAUCUAAUUAUAUUUAUCCACUUCAUUCUGAAAUGCCUGGGGAUACUUCAAACUAUAUUGCAAGUGCCUCCACCUAGAGUGUUCUUUUUAUUAUAGAUUUUCAUUCAAAAAUAACCUACACAGUAGAAAAAAUAACAUAUUGUGGAAAUACAAAUAAAUCAAUCUAUUAUCUCACUGUUAAAAAAAAUAAACCAUCUACACAGAAGCAUUACAUGAGAUUUUCUGAAGCAGUGGAAGAAGCUGAGCAUUUUAUUAACAAAAGCGUUUCAUACAAUUGAGUUCUAUACUGCCUUCCUUCAUAACCAAUUUACCCUCAUUAGCAGGCAGGCGGCAGACCCGAUGCAGCUGGUGCCUCCUCUGAAGGGAACCUGGCAUGACAUCCCUGCUGACCUUUGUAUUCUAUUGCUUUUGCUUCCAGUUAAGAAUGUUGCCUAUAACCUGCAGUGUACAGGGCAGCCCAUUCUCAAGACCCUGCCAUUCCAGGUAAAGCAUUUUUCUAUUCCUGAAGAGAUUUAAAAAGUUGCAGGACAGAAGACAGCAUGUCUUUUGUUGGAGGUUUACAGGAUCAUCUUGACUUGACCUACUAAAACAAUUCCUGCACCAAGAAGUUUGCAACAACUAACUAUGGUCCUCUCUCCCCUGGCCCCUGAAAACACUUUGCUGAAACUCUUUGGGGAGUUCAGGGUUGGGGUGUAGGGGCCCCCGUUCUCCUUGUAUGAUGCUGCAAUAAAGCUUUCUCUGCUCCAAACCCACAUGUUUUGGUAUUGCUUGCCCUAGCUGUGCCUCAGCACACAAAACUGUUCAGCACCAAGAAGAAUGGUCAGCUCAGUAAGGUAGCUCUGUUUUAGGGGCCUUGGUCUCACUGUGGAGGAGGGUGGUGAGGACAGCAUCACACCCUUUGUGUUACUGAGUCCAAGCUCAUACCUUUUGCCCCCUGACAGGCCAAUGCAUUGAGAGUUGUUGGGGCAAGGAAUGACACUUUUAUUCAGAAAGCUAGCGGACAGAAAAGCCAAAGGAGCCUCUUCCCUCCAGGUGGAAUUCAGGCUUCUUUCAUCCUUAAGUGAGGGGAAGGGGAGGGUAUGGUUGUUGGUUGCAAACUGCUUGCUGCAGGAAUCCUUUGUCCAUUAGGCCAGGCCACACUAUGCCUACACACUUCCAAAAGAAUAAAUGUUACUCCCUCUUUUGCAAAUUUACCUCUACAUGAAUAGAACUUUGAAGGAUUAGCAAUGAGAUCCUGCUGUGUAGCACUGGGACCUAUGUCUAGUCACUUAAUGAUGGAGCAUGGUAAUGUGAGAAAAAAGAAUGUAUGCAUGUAUGUGUAACUGGGUCACCUUGCUGUACAGAAGGAAAAAAAAAUCUGUUGGGGAAAUAACA